Molecule: long non-coding RNA, 1206 nt
Filed under: Anolis carolinensis (green anole)
Lineage: Eukaryota; Metazoa; Chordata; Lepidosauria; Squamata; Anolidae
Description: lncRNA (ENSACAG00000039109.1)
Source: RNAcentral
AGACAACGAGGUUUUGUUUCAGGAGUACUUUAGCCAGCACUUUUUCUGGAACACUUUUCAAGUUCUGUAUUUAAUGGAAGUCAAAAGCUGAUCUUUUUUUGUUCAUUUGUUGGUUCUUUUGGGUUUUCUUUUUCUAAAAAAAAAAGAUUGGAAAGAGAGGGGAAGGAAAAGAAGAAAGAACGAAAGUGGAAAGAAGAAAGGAAGAAAAGAAAAAUAUAUUUGGGGGGAGAGAAAUAAACUUGAUUUUUUUUGAGAAUGGCAUGGAGGCGAUUUUGUUUUAACCAGACUGUGUCGUCGGCCCCUUUCCCGCCCCCAUGCCCCCCAUCACCCACCCACCCACCCACCCCCAUCCAGCAAAAAGACAAUCGAAGGGUUCCAGGCACCACCCAGGCGGAGUGUGAGAACAUGAGGGUCUCCAUGUUCCUUCUCGCCAGCCAGCCAGCCAGCCUCCCACCCACGGCAUGCAUACGAGGAACACACCGGAAGGCAACAGACCCAGGCCGGCCACGGAGGAGAGGACAUUUAUUUUUCCCUUCUUUCAGCCGGGGAGAGGGACGGAGGGGAGGAAAUGACGGACUCAAAUGAAAACUCACUAAUGGAGACUGAACACUUGGCAUUUUCCUCCUCAUCAUCUCCCAACCCUUUCUCUUGUGCGGGUUUCUUAUUUUUCUCCCAGUUUGUUUGCCUGCAUUCUUGUUUUUCUUUUUCUUUUUUUUGGAAAUGCUUUUGUUGCUUACUUUUUUUGGAGAGCCCAGGAAUUUUGACAAGUCUGUGAAUGGAUCUUGGAAACGCCAUGACAUCCCAUUUCCAUGCUCAAGAGGAAGAAGACCCUCCCUCGGCUCUUGCGACAGACUGGGGCUGCUCUUGACAUUGUGGGGCGGGAUAGGAAGGAGUGGGAGCUGCACCGGAAGGACCCUCACCCACCCACCCACCCACCCAGAAGGCCCGUCACGAAGACAGAAGCCUGGCCUGGCCUUGCCUUUCCCGCCCCGUCCCGCCCUCUCUCUGUGUCCCCGUGCCCCCCUGUGUUGCUGCCUGUCCCGACCGACCCCCGUCUCUGUCCCCAAAAUGCUUUUGUCUCCUCUGUCGAGAAGCAAGCGAGGGGGUGCGAAGAGCAGUUCUGGGGGGGGGGGGGCUUGGCUUUUCUUUCUGCACAAAACCAGCAAUUGUAAAUACUUUUCAGAAAUUUUAAAAAAAGAAAGUUAA